Long non-coding RNA from Parus major (Great Tit), 2554 nucleotides. RefSeq lists it as uncharacterized. The record is from RefSeq and is a predicted model, not a curated record. Lineage: Eukaryota; Metazoa; Chordata; Aves; Passeriformes; Paridae. The transcript is spliced from 2 exons.
CUCUGCCGGUGCACCGGCACCUCCCGGCAACGCCGCCUCCCUCCUGCACCUCUCCGCAGGGCACACGGCUGCCAUGCAGCCGGCACUGGAGACUCCUAAUCCUGGCGGGAUUGUAAAACUCUGCUGUGCGAAAUUAUUAGGCUGCUUUACGCAAUAUUUAGCUUAGAUCUCCCUGGUUGAAAUGUAUGUGCAUUAGUUCCAUCUUCCAAGCUUGCCUGGAGAGAAGAUAAUACUCAAGCAUUGCACUAAAGUAUCAAAGACCUUGUGUAAAUCCCCAUUCUAUAACGAGGGCAGCUAAAAUAUUACAAAGCCAAAUGACAUAGCCGUCAUUAUCACCAGGAGAGCUGGAACUGCCUUCAACAUCCAUUCCCUGGUCAGAAGCUGCCAACAGGACUAGUACAUACCCUUUGAAAUCAGGAAAGUACAGUGGCAAAGAGUAACACAGCAAUGAGCCAAAAGCACACAGGGAUCGGGAUCUGGAUGGAUGCCAAGUUGAUUCCAUCAUGGAAGUCAGGAAAUUGCCACACAGGACUUUGGUGCUCCAUGAUAAGCAGAACACUUACAUUGAGCAACAGCGCUUGACUCUUGUUUCUUAUCUGUGUCACCCCUCCUGCAGCAAGGCCUACCUGAGUGUGCUCAGGGCAUGGGGUGGUGGCACUUGCGCUGACCCAAGCGCUAUCGCCACGGGGGUGGCUUCCCACCCAAGACUUAUCUGUAGCCACAGGCUGCUGCUUGUCUCUUGGGCAUUCCCACAGUGAUAUAAACAGCCGGUUUGGUGAUACAGCUGAAAAUCAUCCUUUCCCUUUAGAACAGAAAAAAAACCCAAAAAAACCCUUCUCCUCUUAAUCAAGAACUUGGAGCCUUGUCCUUUCCAAGCUGUCCCAGAGCAGCUGGGGGCUCACAGGACAGGAAUUCAGUGUGACUGCAGAGGAGUCUCAGAAGACAUCACAGUGUUCCAGUCCACCCCCUCCUCUUCUUGUUUUAACUCUGCAUUCAGGCACUUUGGGAGAAGACAGAACAAACCCAGCUCUGCAUGGGCACUGUCAUUUGUUACGUCUGGGUCUUCGAUCACCAGCAACCGAAUUGGCAUCGAAGCCGUGCGGGCCACCAGUAGAGGGCAAAGGAAGCCAAGCAAUUCUCUUCCCCAGAGCAACAAAGAAAACAACGUCAUCUCUAACUGGCCGCUGCUCCCGGCGCGGUGGGAUCACACCGUGAAUUAGCAAAACAUGUUGGCUUUACCCCUCAGCUGGCGGCGACCGAAAGCCAGAGAUGAAGUUCAAAUGUUAAGGGCUCCAGCCCAAAAGAGUGAGGCUGGAGCCGCCCGUGUCUGUGACUCAGGACACACGGAUCCCGUAAUCCAGAGAGAGCAGCGCGACUCCCGCUAGAGCCAGCGCUAAAACCCAGUGACCUAAAUAUUCUCUCCCGUAGUGCCGCAUGAGCAGCUCCCGGGAGCACCACGUUUUACUGCGGAAAUGUGAAAUUGUUUUGUGGGGGAAGGGAUGGAAGAACGAGCGAGGCGUUGAUUUGCUCAGAAAGAGAAGAAAAUCUUCAAGGUAAAUCACUUCGGUCUAGACGAACACUUCAUCCAGUUUAAAACAAAUCUUAUUUUAUCUUUGAAUUCAUGGUUUCAUUUUCUGUCGAAUAUACCAAGGAGAUGCUUGUUAAAUAUUUCCACCUGAGAGCAAGUUCUCACACAGCACCUGUCAUAUUUGCAAUUUGCAAAAUAUAUGACACCAUUUACACAAAUUUCUCGUUCACAAGAUGAAAUCCCUACAAUUUGUGCUUCAGCCACUAGAAAUCAAGCAAAAACAAUCCCUGGGGAUAACUGCUGAGUAUUACAUUAAGCAAUAUCAUUUUAUAAAGUCACAGAAUAAAAUGCCAGUAGGUGCUAACUGCAUUUCAUGGAUUAUAAAAUAUAAUUACAUUCAGAAAUGUAUCUGCCAAAGAUUAAAAAAAAUAAUAAAAUAAAAAAUCUCUGACUAGAAAGUGCAGUGAGAUCAGUGAAUUACAUGCAAAAUUCUAUGGAAACAGUCCUGCAGACAAAUGUGUGUGUGUUAAUUCCACGCCAAUGGAAAGCAGCAUUUCCACCAGUGGGAUUACUCACCUAUUCCAGUCGAGGAUGAUCACAAACGCUGACAGGUAACUCCCUUUUCAACUCAAGACAUCGAAACCCUCCCUUUCUUGUCACGAUUGUAUAAAGGUGCUGAGAUUUAAAGUUCGAUUUAGCACGUGUGAGCUGUACUUCAUCAUGCCUUCAUUUCAAGUGUGCAGAGGGCAAUAAUCAAGACAAAAGCUGUCAUUUAAAUUGUUCUUCUGGUCUCUGGCCACAUUUCUGUCGUCUUUUUCUCCAUCUGAAGCAUCACUGAUUAAUCUGAAUUACUCAAGUCAGUUUAAUUAACGUUGCUUUGUCUUUAAAUAGUUUAGCCUUAAUCUGUCUAAUCCUUUACUGGUUGUAUUAAUCCCUGUUAAAUUUGCCUAAUGAUAAAAUAAGCAAACUUGCACAAGAUCGAAUGAGUAGUACUGAACAUUUGAAAGAAUUUCAUGAUUGCUCACA